CCCUUAGAUGUUCUGGGCCGCACGCGCGCUACACUGAUGCAUUCAACGAGUCCAACCUUGACCGAGAGGUCCGGGUAAUCUUUGAAACUGCAUCGUGAUGGGGCUAGAUUAUUGCAAUUAUUAAUCUUCAACGAGGAAUGCCUAGUAAGCGUGAUUCAUCAAAUCGCGUUGAUUACGUCCCUGCCCUUUGUACACACCGCCCGUCGCUCCUACCGAUUGAGUGUGUUGGUGAGGAGUUUGGAUUGGCCUCGGAAGGUGUUUCGCCACCGUCCGUAGCUGAGAAGUUCUCCAAACCGCCCCACUUAGAGGAAGGAGAAGUCGUAACA
This 326-nucleotide ribosomal RNA is filed under the name uncultured eukaryote. RNAcentral describes it as "partial 18S ribosomal RNA". It matches the Rfam family "Eukaryotic small subunit ribosomal RNA", at positions 1470 to 1796 of the family's 1831-position model. The record is from RNAcentral.